GGCUUAGAGUUUGAUCAUGGCUCAGGAUGAACGCUGGCGGCGUGCUUAACACAUGCAAGUCGAACGGAGAGCGUAUGACAGAGGAUUCGUCCAAUGGAUUACGUUUCUUAGUGGCGGACGGGUGAGUAACGCGUGAGGAACCUGCCUCGGAGUGGGGAAUAACACAACGAAAGCUGUGCUAAUACCGCGUGAUGCAGCUGGGUCGCAUGACUCUGGCUGCCAAAGAUUUAUCGCUCUGAGAUGGCCUCGCGUCUGAUUAGCUGGUUGGCGGGGUAACGGCCCACCAAGGCGACGAUCAGUAGCCGGACUGAGAGGUUGGCCGGCCACAUUGGGACUGAGACACGGCCCAGACUCCUACGGGAGGCAGCAGUGGGGAAUAUUGGGCAAUGGGCGCAAGCCUGACCCAGCAACGCCGCGUGAAGGAAGAAGGCCCUCGGGUUGUAAACUUCUUUUGUCAGGGACGAAGCAAGUGACGGUACCUGACGAAUAAGCCACGGCUAACUACGUGUCAGCAGCCGCGGUAAUACGUAGGUGGCAAGCGUUAUCCGGAUUUACUGGGUGUAAAGGGCGUGUAGGCGGGAUUGCAAGUCAGAUGUGAAAACCACGGGCUCAACCUGUGGCCUGCAUUUGAAACUGCAGUUCUUGAGUACUGGAGAGGCAGACG
RNAcentral lists this ribosomal RNA (664 nucleotides) under uncultured organism. Its description in RNAcentral is "bacterial SSU rRNA". It matches the Rfam family "Bacterial small subunit ribosomal RNA", at positions 1 to 663 of the family's 1533-position model. The record is from RNAcentral.